RNAcentral lists this ribosomal RNA (253 nucleotides) under uncultured bacterium. Its description in RNAcentral is "partial 16S ribosomal RNA". It matches the Rfam family "Bacterial small subunit ribosomal RNA", at positions 524 to 776 of the family's 1533-position model. The record is from RNAcentral.
GACAGAGGGUGCAAACGUUGUUCGGAAUUACUGGGCGUAAAGCGCGUGUAGGCGGUUUCCUAAGUCAGGUGUGAAAGCCCCGGGCUCAACCCGGGAAGUGCACUUGAAACUGGGAGGCUAGAGUAUCGGAGAGGUUGGUGGAAUUCUCGGUGUAGAGGUGAAAUUCGUAGAUAUCGAGAGGAACACCGGUGGCGAAGGCGGCCAACUGGACGAAUACUGACGCUGAGACUCGAAAGCGUGGGGAGCAAACAGG